This is a non-coding RNA of Ciona intestinalis (vase tunicate), 1081 nucleotides long. Lineage: Eukaryota; Metazoa; Chordata; Ascidiacea; Phlebobranchia; Cionidae. The record is from RefSeq and is a predicted model, not a curated record.
UUUGUUGAGAAAACAUGUAACUAUCGUAUGAACACAUCUUACAGAAGUUAAAUAUAUAUGGUGGCCUAUACUCAGCCAAAAAAACUCCUUUUACCACUGUUUUAUACUUAAGACACAAACAAACGUUUAAAAUUAAUAUUUUACUAUAAAAACCGAAGUUUUUUGAACCAACAAAUUUCAUUACACAAAGCACAACAGAAGUAGACAAAACUUUAUGCUGGCCGCCAGGAUUCGCCUUUUUCUCUUUUUUCCGAGAGCGACACAUGACGUCAGUACAACGUAUUCUUAUCCAUAUAGUGGUUAUGCAUAUGCUUGCUACUGCGGUAAAAUCGUAGUGCAAAGUAAAUACAAACUUAACAUUAAUGUUCUGUGAUUUCUUCGGAAGUUGCCUUGGGAACAUGUUUCCGGCCGUACUUAAAGUUUAAGCUUCUUUACAAGAAGAAGAAAUUAAAACGAGAAAUAAAACGGGAACACAUUUUUACAUACCAGCGUUAAUUGCUCCUAACCCGCUCUUCAAUAAUUAUUAUUAUUCCACGCUUUUUACACAUCGCCCUACCAAGUUGCAACACGAUAGUAUUGCAAGACGUGGCAGUUCAGAUGAAGCAGCUUUGAGUUAACUCGGUUUUGCAUCAGAUUUGGAUUAUACUAUACAUGCUACUAUACAAGACUGAAGUAAGAUAUCGGCGAUGUGACGUCACGAAGUGGUGAUAACGCGAAAGAAGAACCCACUUUAAAUGGCAUUUGACGUCACAGAGGUCCAGUAAAACGUUGCACAAACAAGAAAGAAGUCAAGACGACAAAUAAAGCUGAAGGAGAAAAAGCGCAAGACGAAGAACAGAAACAAAAGACGAAAUGCGAAGGAUAAAUGGUUUGGGGCUUGAGGUGAUUGGGAAAUGCGGUACCGUUGUGAACAUAGACACUUUGUGGUCGGACAUUUAAUAUGGUGUACACUGCAGGUGAUUAUCCUUCAGGAUUUGAACCAUAUUUUUCCUGUAGAUAUUUUAAUGAAUAUGUCCGCUUUCUUGUCUUUCUGCUGCAUGUUUUAUUGAUGCCUUUAAAAUAUAAUUAAACUAAAACGCAA